UCCGUCUGGGGUCAAGAAGGUUUUCUCCGGCAGAGCCUUGUUUUUGAUGACCACGGAUGACGAGGAUUUUCCAUCCCUUAUGAAGCGGACGCAGUUAAAAGAUACUUCGUAAAAGAGACCCGCUGGACGAAAAGAAUAAGAGAGUCCAGGCAAAAAAGGGCAUCCCGGCGAACCGAAAAAAAAGAGGAGAAAAGGUUCGGGCAAAAAUUAGGGAUAAAAAGAAAAAAA
RNAcentral lists this long non-coding RNA (228 nucleotides) under Lathyrus oleraceus (garden pea). RNAcentral describes it as "Pisum sativum (pea) long non-coding RNA (PSAT_LNC020855)". Lineage: Eukaryota; Viridiplantae; Streptophyta; Magnoliopsida; Fabales; Fabaceae. The record is from RNAcentral.